CAGGAUUUCAGUUUGGGCCCGGCCCUGGGGGACAGCUCCUCUCUGCCCUCUGUGACAUCAGCUGAGGCCUUGCUCACAAUGCUGGCAAGCUGGUGCUGGCUGACAGCUGGGAGCACAGUGGAGCUCGUGGCCCGGGGGACCUUGGUCAUCCUGCGUGUGGCCGAGUGGGCUUCCUUUCAGCGUCAUGGCUGGUUCCAAAGAGUGAGAAAGUGACACUUGCCAGUCGUUUUCAAGGUUGGGCCUGAACCUGGCUGGAGUGUCAUUCCUGCCAUCAUAGAAGCCACAGAGUCCAGGUACAGCUACUGGCCGUUCCUACCAAAGACCUCAUCUUUUUGGGGGUUUUUUGAAUAAAACUGAUAUAUAUUUAAGGUGUAUGAUGUGCUUUGCUACUUGGAUACAUAGUGAAAUGGUUUCUACAAUACAGCUAAUAUGCCCACCUCCUCACAUACUUGUCUUUUUUUUCUUGGUACAAGCACCUAAAAUCUAUUCUCAGCGAAUUUCCCGUGUAUGAGACGGCCUUGUUAACUGUAGUCAUCCUGCGUGCUGCACGUUAGAUCUCUAGAUUGACUCAUCCUACUAAUGGCAGUUUGCACCCUUUGACCCCCCUCCCCCCCCAUUUCCCCAGCACCUGCCCCUGGUGACCACACAGGCCUCGGGAAACGCGCCACCUUUUAUGCUGGCAUCACCUCCUGGGCUAAAUAUCUUGUCCUUGAAGCACAUAUUGCGCAGCUCUUUCCCCAAGCCAGAACAACCCCAGACAGUUAAGACACGGGGCAAGAGCACACCACCGCUGGGAGAGUCGGGGCCAGCUGUCCCAAACGCUGGGCCCCCCUCUGUGGCCAGUGCAAGGGCUCUCCAUGGCUGGAGUUGCAGUGGAGUGUGUGCCUUUUUCUGGGGUGGGGUCCCUGGCUUUGAUCAGAUGCUCUAUGGGGCUCUCACCCAGAGAAGGGGUGACGUGAUCAUGACCACGGGUCUGAUCACGGCUCUGCAGUGUGGCUGUGAGAGAAGGAUAGUCUGUCCAGACUUGCCGAGCCCACCUCACAGGAGCCACGGUGCAUCACAUGCCCGCUCCCCACCGGCCGCUCAGCAGGAGGCCAGGAGUGCAGGCCUAGCGGCCACCUCUGCUGGCAGGAAGAUGUCUUCGCGAUUACAAGCUCCUCAGGACCAUUGGGGAGGGCUCCUGCGCCAAGGUGAAGCUGGCCCUGCACAUCCCGACCAGGACCAAGGUGGCCGUGAAAAUGAUCCCAAAGCAGGAGCAAAGCUCCUCCAGUGCCAAGAGACUUCUCUGUGAAGUGCACAGUUUGAGGACCUUGCGUCACCCCCACAUUGUAAAGCUGCUAGAGGUGAUCAAUGGUGAGGAGACUCUGUUUCUGGUUACAG
This 1380-nucleotide long non-coding RNA is filed under the name Equus caballus (horse). RNAcentral's name for it is "lncRNA (ENSECAG00000055561.1)". Lineage: Eukaryota; Metazoa; Chordata; Mammalia; Perissodactyla; Equidae. The record is from RNAcentral.